UGUGUGUCUGUGUGCGCGCGUGUGUUCCCGGCGCCUCCAUGCGCCCAGGCGCUGCCGGGGGCUGCUUGUCAGAUUCAGAUUAUACAUAUCUACAGUUUUAAAAGUUUUCUGAUUGAUUCUGACUACAACACAGACACUCAGAGUGAGACAGUCUGGGCAUGUCUCCUGAAGAAUACAUAGGAAAGCAAAUUCAGGCCACAAGAGUUGGGGACAGAUGAAAGAGGAGAAGAUCCAAAAAGAUGCAAUAUUGCAAGAUCCAAAAUAAAAAUGAUCAUAGGAUGAUCAUAACAUAAUUCGGAAUAUUUGAGCCAAGUUAUAUGACCACAGCUACAGGCAUACA
Long non-coding RNA from Alligator mississippiensis (American alligator), 340 nucleotides. RefSeq lists it as uncharacterized. The transcript is spliced from 3 exons. The record is from RefSeq and is a predicted model, not a curated record. NCBI's taxonomy places the organism in Eukaryota, Metazoa, Chordata, Crocodylia, Alligatoridae.